Molecule: non-coding RNA, 3356 nt
Organism: Microcebus murinus (gray mouse lemur)
Lineage: Eukaryota; Metazoa; Chordata; Mammalia; Primates; Cheirogaleidae
Source: RefSeq, a predicted model, not a curated record
UCUUCCUUCUCCACCUUCUUUUCAUUUUCUUAUUUUUUUUUCCUACAAAGGGGCAUCUUUUUUUCUACCCUUGAAACCCCCAGUCUUCAGUCUAGAGAUUAAGAAUGAUUUUUGGCUUAGGUCUGGCAUUUUGGCUUUUUCCUGUGCAUUGCUGUUUGCCGACUCCACAACUUUGCAAUGUCUUUUUUUUUUUUUGGUAAAGCAAACAGGACAGCAUAAACUAUGGAGAAUUUAUUAAUAAAAUUUCAAGAAGUCAACUCAGCAUAUAUUGAAUAACGAAAUUUGGAAUGUUUUCCCUAUUGUUGCACAGUUCCUGCCAGGCAGCCUUGGCCCGAGUGCCUGAGCCCAGCUUGCCCUGUGCGGUUUGAGGCCUUUAACUCUGAGGCAGGUCAUUAACCGGCUGGUGAAGCAGCAGCACAUUGUUCUGUUAUUUUCAAACCACAACAGCCUCUGUGGAAUCCAAGAGCCAUAAAAACGUAGUUCUGAUGUUGCCUGACAGAAGCAUAAUUCAUGUACUCUAUAAUUUAAAGGGAUUUCGAUGCAAUUGUAAAACUAAUAAAAAAUGAAUUCCUUUUGGGAAACACUGGUACCUUGUUUAAUCAAUUGAUUCUACUAAUUUUAAAAUACAAUCAGCCUGGUAGCUCUGUGUAUGUGUGUGUGUGUGUGUGUGUGUGUGUGUGUGUGUGUGUGUGUGUGUAGAUAAGUAAGAUUAAAUCUGAUGCCAGUAGUUUCAAGUACGUAACAUCACUGUUGGAUGAAAAGAAAAAAAAAGAAGAGAGGAAAAAGAAAAAAAAUCCUAGAACAAUUUAUGGCCUGUAGCCAGUAACAAAGUGUUUCUCCCUGUGCCUUUUUAUCAUUUUCCCCCCAAAAGUUGAUUAUGCCUAAGUUAAAAAAAAAAAAAAAGUUUUGGUACGUUGCUAGAAGGUUUAGAUUUCAGCCUGGAUUUAAAAAAAAAAAACAAAAAAACCUCAAAUGAAAGGCUCUUUUUAAUCAGAUAAUUGACCAGCCCGUAAUUUUAGCCUGUCUGUGACACACCAUUUGGCAGGUACAGAGGUACGCAGCCCUGGGCCUUCGCCUCUCUUCCCCUCCCCCCGGGACUGUCAUUGAGCUCCCUGUCUUGCUGCUUGUCCCCAGAGACACCCCCAAACAUUUUGAAGUUCAGGAGAGCCAGCUGUCAAAGGGGACCACGCAGAUGGCACAAAAGGGACUCCAGCCCUCCAUCACCCCACCUGGGGGAAAAAGUAGCAGCUCUCCCCCCUGCAACUCCACAGCUGUCUCAGAUCUAGAGCAUUCGUGUUUCAAAUGGAUCCCCGGUUUCCUGAAAUCUUGGCUCUAAAAUUGUUUAGGAGGCUUUGGUGGGGCUUUGCAUACAAGCACAUUAACUCUUCUAUUUUAAUUCCCCCCGACAUGAGUAAUGGCAGCUCGAGAAUGCCCUCUACAAUGUCACGUCACAAAAGGCUCGGAAAAUUAUCCCUUCCCCCUAUUGUCUGUCUGUUUUCUUUUAUUCCUUCUCUACUCAUCACGUUCGCUGGCAGCCAUGAAUGAAAUGUAACAUGCUAAAUGACUGACAUCCAUUAAAGCUCCUCGACAAACCUUGGGCCGUGUUUUGAAAGGCCCCUGGAAGAAAAAGGAUUGUGUGCUCUUUGAAUCUUGCUCUGCUGAACGGCUGCCAAGUGAGGGCUGCCCCAUUCAAAGGGCUGAGUGAAUAAAUGAGAAUAACAUCCUUGGGGACCCGCAGGAUCAGUUUACUCCGAAAAUGCUCAGCUUCACAAAGGGUCAGAGUCACAAGAACUUUGGACUUGCCACAUGACUUGUGUUGGCCAUUAGGACAUUAUUGAACAUGACAAGAGCAGAGGCUUGAAGUAUGGGCUAAACCUCUGAACUCCAGUCUUUGGCCAUGAGAAGACCAUGCCUUGAAUAACCACUGGCACAAGGAAGAUGAAAGACAUGAGUUGAAGAUCUGGAUUCAACCCACUGCUUGGAGCAAGCCCAGUCAAGCCCAGGCUAUAUCAGCCAAACCUCAGAAAAGAAAUAAAUGUUUAUCGUGGCAUGUCACUAUGUGGCUAUUUGCAGCAACAGCAGACUGAUACAACAUCGAACCCUUAGUCAUGGGAGAGUGUGCCCAUGUCAAUAAAUGUUUCCGACCAACCUCAUAAUCUACUUCCUUUAUAUUUUGCUCCUUCUAGUCCUAUAUCUUUAAACCACACCCACAUAUGUCUCCUGGUCCCUGCCCUUAUAUUUUUGCCAGGUUCAGAAAUUUUUUGGUGUGUAAGAUAUUUUGUCUCAAAGUAGGGACUAUAUUGAUAUAAAUGCUUACUGUGAAUUAGGCCCUCAUAAACUUUCAUACAUUCUUUCACUUAAUCUUCCCAAUACCUCUGUAGGCUGGCUAACUUAUCCUCAUGUUUAAAAUAAGGAAAAUCAAUAUACAAAGAUGAAAUAACUUGUACAUGGUCUCAGCCAAUAGGUGGUAGAGCCAGGAUUUGAAUAAUUGGGUCCGUUUGACUUCAAAGGCUAUACAAUGAUACGCGGUAUGCCACGGACAUGAAAAUGAAUGGAGUGCAGAGACAGUUUCUCAUUUUACAAAGAUUAUUAAAAACCAAUUUAUUGUAAUUAAAUGGAAAUUAAAAAGAAAAUAAUUACAGGCGUUGGGGGAAAGAUACCUUUAUUAGAAACUGACAAGGUUUAAAGCGUGAGGUAUAAUGACAGGUGUAACCCACACAGACAGGGACAGUCAUGACCAUGGUGGGAAAGAAAUCAAGGUUACUGAACACCUAUUGCGUUCCAGAUGCUACUCUACAUGCUUUCACAUAUAUCUGCUAAUUUAAUCUUGACAAUGUUUUGUUGUUCUAGGCAUUGUCCAGAGCUAGUGAGAGAGUCAUGACUUGGGCUCAACUCUGACUUCAAUGCCUAUGUCGUCUCUGCUAGACCAACACUGUCAGCAUCACCUGGUAGCAAUAAUUGGGCAGGUUGUUAGAGAUGCAGAAUUUCUGGCUCAUGUCGGAUCUUCUGAUCAAAAUCUAUAUUUUAACAAGAGUUAACAAGUGGACUGCAGUGCAACUCUGAGAAAGGAUGAUGGAGAUCUACACACCCUGGGAUACAACAAUCACCGAGAUACAAUUUAACAACGUGGUGGUGGAUGAGAUGGGAGACAUGCUUUAAGUAUUCAAAAUGAAAAACACCAGAACACAACCGUUAUUUUAUGAAAGAGGCUGGAAAAUGGUUAGUAAAGAAAUCACAGAUGUGUUUCACAGAAGAGGGGGAGGUGAGAGGAGUACUACAUUCUGAAAAUAGCAUGACAAGCACAAUAUAUUCCUAAUUUUGCUCAACGCAUUACUUUUGGGGUUUUCUGAACUUUA